GAGAGGAAUGAAAAGUCCCGCUUCUGAGAAAAGAGUUCUUUACAGCCAGAUCAAACACAAAACUAGAGGAGCAGCAAACAGGACGAUUUUUAUUCUCAUUCAACUCUCACAGGAGAUAGGAACGCACAUGCUAAAACAGCAUUUGCCGGUGUAAGAGCUCACAGUUUUCCACAAAGUCUUUACCCGACAGGAUUGUGCAGUUGAGUUGAUCUACAAGUGGUUCAUAAAGAGCUCCCCCCUCACCCCGCCACACACACGGAAAAGCCAAGUUUCAUAACGCCAUGACCCUGAUCCCUGAAAAGCCCCCUGGAGGCUGACCGUCAGGCCUCCUGCCUGAAGGUGGUUCAUCCCAGGGCGGCUGCAGGCUGCACGCGGGCUCAGUGUGCUCUGGCCACAGGCGGCUGUCCAAGCCCAUGCAGCUGCUCUCCUCCCCGCCCAGGUGGGGGGACCCUCCAGGCCACCUGGGGUAGCGCUCCCUCUUGGGGACCCUAAGCAUCCAACAGAACUGGAGGGGCCUGUGCUGGGCAACCAGCUGGCUGGAGGGAGGGCAUAGCUGGUGUUCUGUCAUGGUCUUCCUUGGCCCUUUGUUCUCCCAGCUCAAAGCUUUCGUGAUGGAGAAGCCGUCCCCAUCUUUAGGGGGAGAUCUGGUCAUUAGAGCCCGGGAGGAGGAAGCCCUUCGCUUCCUGCGGACCUUGCAGCUUUGAUGUCACUUAGGUUUCUGUUGAACACCUGGAUUUGGAUGCAGUUGGAGGAGUGCACUUAGGGAUUGGAAGUCAUCCAGGAAUUUCAAGCAAUCAGAUGCACCCGGAAUGUUAGUAGUUUAAAUCAAGGUUUGACAAAUUACAGCUCAUGGGCUAAUCCAGCCCUCGUCCUAUUUUUAUACGGCCAGCAAGCUAAGAGUGGUUUCUAUAUUUUUAAAAAGUUGUAAAACAAACAAACAAGAAUAUGCAAGAGAGACAUAUAUGACCUGCAUAGCCUAAAAUACUUACUAUGUGUCCUUAUGUGAUUUACAGAAUCAGCUUGCCAGCCCCUGGUAAAUGAAGGAGCUAGAGAUGAUAAAACGUCUAAAGUUCACGAGGAAAGCGAGGCUGCCCAGGAAGAGGAUGUGGUCUUGGCUGCAGGCAAUUCCCAGAGAGGACUGAGCUGUGAGCCAGAAGGUGUUGGGAGAACGGGAGACUCUGUCCUGGAGGGGAGUCUGAAGGAGGCAGCCGGCAUUCACUACAGUGAGCUCAGCAAAUAGCUUCCCAGUGGAGCCACCUUCCUUAUCUGCAGCUCCACUUUCCCUGGGCUUCACCAACCUAUGCAGACAGAUGGGGUCCUAGCAGCGGAAACAGCCUGAAUUUGCAGCACCUCCCUCAAAUGAACGUAACUCAGAUGCCUCCAGGUCUUACCCGCUGGCGUCUGUCAAUGUCACAUCUGUAGCACUGACCAAACCCACCAUUUGUUUGAUGAGCAGAGAUUCCAGUGUUUGGGGCGGCAGAUGAACUCUCCAGUCAUUCCCUCUAGAAGCCCCUGGCAGAGUGGGCAGGGGAGAAGGUUUCACAUACGAUAGAACCACUGCCUCUAUCUCCGGUCCAACCCUCCUUCUGUUCUGUGCAGUCUCUUACUGAGCUGCCCAUGGGCUUCUAGCCAUGCCUACUCAUGCCCAAUGCCUGGGCCACUUCUGACCAUCUCACCCUCUUCCACCCCACCUCUGGCCAGCAGGAAAUUUCCAUCCUUGCCCUUCUCCUGACCAGCUGCUUCAGAAGGGUUGCUGGGUUUCAAGUGACAGCUCUCUCAUUGAUGUCCCAGCCGGUCACCUUCCUGGAUCACAGGGUCUUGGGGGGGGGGGGCGGGGGGCGUGGUCAGGCCAGCCUCAGGUCAUAUCUGGAAUGUGUACACACAUCUCAGGCCCUGCUGCCAAGGCUGAUCCACGCUGCUGGACCUUUGCUACGGCCACUGUGACUUCCUCACCGAAGGCUCACUCCAUCUUCCAAGUCACCCAACUUUGGGGAACCCAUUCCAUCAGAUCGUUCUCUAUGUCUGAACCCUGAUUAUGAGCUGGCUUUAAGUUUUUCCCACUAGACUCUUAGGAUGUGUCUGAACAUUUAUUUUUCUGUCCAGAACUUUCCAAGAGAGUCGAGAAGCUUCCUCUCAUUUCUUGACAAUUGAAAAGUACCCACUCAUGGCAAGCAGGGGAACUCUGAGGGGUUUUGCUAUUUAAUUCCAGAACCAUACUAAGAGAAUCAUGACAACGUAGCCCAAAAUGACAGCACACAAGACAACUGGUGUCCUUUCAAGGUCUGUUUGACAAAGGGAUAGAAGAAAUGCUUUGGAAAUGCACAUUUAAAAGUGUCCCACCUAGGGACUUCCCUGGCGGUCCAAUGGUUAUGACUCCAUGCUUCCACUGCAGGGGGCACAGUUUCUAUCCCUGGUCAGGGAACUAAGAUCCCACAUCCCAUAUGCCGCGUGGCGUGGCCAAAAAAAAAAGUGUCCCACCUACACUUGGAUGAUGGCCCAGCUCCACUGGUCACCCUCAGCAUGAUCUAGACUGGGAUGACCACAGCUGUGUGGGUCAGAAGAGCUGGAUUCUUACUCUGGCUUAUCCUUUCUUUGCUGUGUGCACCUGUCCUACCUGGGCCUCAACUUUCUCAUUUGUAAAAUGGAGAUACGGCAGCCUUGACUACCAGAGUGUAACCUUGGAUGUCAAGUGAGGUGAUGUCUGUGAAGAAAUUUGUCAGAGCAAAGGAGAAAGCUCCAUGGGCCUCUGCAAACAGCUGCUUCCCAAAGACAAGGGAGGAAAAUACCCAAAGCAAUGAUGAGGUAAAAGGGUCCGUGAGCCCUGGGAGGUUCUCCUGGCAGUCCGAGGGCUGCGGCUCAUUGCCAAGGCCAUCAUAUGGCUGCCUUUAGAGCCCACUCACUGACCAGUCUCUGGGGCCCAUGAAGGCCACGGAGGUUAUGACAAAAAAGUCAUCUCGGAACUUCCCUGGAGGUCUGGUGGUUAAGACUCCACGCUUCUGGACUUCCCUGGUGGUGCAGUGGUUAAGAAUCCACCUGUGAAUGCAGGGAACACGGGUUUGAUCCCUGGUCCAGGAAGAUCCCACAUGCUGUGGAGCAGCUAAGCCCAUGCACCACAACUACUGAGCCCGCGAGCCACAACUACUGAGCCCGUGUGCCACAACUACUGAAGCCCCUGCACCUAGACCCCGUGCUCCGCAACAAGAAAAGCCACUGCAAUGAGAAGCCCGCGCACCGCAACGAAGAGUAGCCCCCACGCACCGCAACUAGAGAAAGCCCGCGCACAGCAACAAAGACCCAACGCAGUCAAAUUAAUUAAUUAAUUAUUUUUAAAAAAGGACUCCGUGCUUCCACUGCAGGGGGCACGGGCUUGAUCCCUGGUUGGGGAACUAAGAUCUCGCAUGUUAUGUGGCGUGGCCAAAAGAGAAAAAAGAAAAAGAAAAAAGAAAAGGGGAGAAAACAGUUUCCAAUUUAUUAAAAAAAAAAGAAAAAAAGAAAAAGAAAAAAGGUCAUCUCACCUUCCACCCAGAAGCAUUCAGUGGGGUGUCCCCACAGUGCUAGAACAGUUCAAAUGAUCCACACCCCAGUGGGGCCUCUGAGUUCAGGCCCCAGCAGGGUAGAAGUUUCUUUGGGGAGCUCUGAGACCAGGAUUGGCUCCAGAAUAGCCAGAUAGCACCCCCAGCCAGGCAUCUCCAGCGACUUCUUGGCAGGUCAACGUCAUGGUCUCUCCUGUGGCCCCUUCUCCUUGAAUUAACGCCUUAAAUUUUCAAAAUGCCUUGUGAUUUUCAAAACACUUUCACACACAUUUUUUAUUUGAUCCUCACAUUACCCUGGAGGAAGGCACCUGGCAGAUGAGUAACUGAAGCAUUGGAAGCUUAAUGGCUUGCCUAAGGUCACUUCGUGUUAUGGACUGAAUGUCUGUGUCCCCUUCCC
Molecule: long non-coding RNA, 3930 nt
Organism: Balaenoptera acutorostrata (minke whale)
Lineage: Eukaryota; Metazoa; Chordata; Mammalia; Artiodactyla; Balaenopteridae
Exons: 3
Source: RefSeq, a predicted model, not a curated record